Molecule: ribosomal RNA, 484 nt
Filed under: uncultured bacterium
Lineage: Bacteria
Description: partial 16S ribosomal RNA
Rfam family: Bacterial small subunit ribosomal RNA
Source: RNAcentral
AUUGAACGCUGGCGGCAUGCUUUACACAUGCAAGUCGAACGGCAGCGCGGGCUUCGGCCUGGCGGCGAGUGGCGAACGGGUGAGUAAUACAUCGGAACGUGCCCAGUAGUGGGGGAUAGCUCGGCGAAAGCCGGAUUAAUACCGCAUACGACCUGAGGGUGAAAGCGGGGGAUCUUCGGACCUCGCGCUAUUGGAGCGGCCGAUGGCAGAUUAGCUAGUUGGUGGGGUAAAGGCCUACCAAGGCGACCAUCUGUAGCUGGUCUUAGAGGACGACCAGCCACACUGGGACUGAGGCGCGGCCAAGACUCCUACGGGAGGGAGCAGUGGGGAAUUUUGGACAAUAGGCGAAAGCCUGAUCCAGCAAUGCCGCGUGUGUGAUAGAGGCCUUCGGGUUGUAAAGAACUUUUGGCGGGAACGAAAAGGACUGUGCCAAUACCACGGUUCGAUGACGGUACCCGCAGAAUAAGCACCGGCUAACUACGUG